AGUGAACGCUGGCGGUAGGCCUAACACAUGCAAGUCGAACGGCAGCACAGUAAGAGCUUGCUCUUACGGGUGGCGAGUGGCGGACGGGUGAGGAAUACAUCGGAAUCUACUUUUUCGUGGGGGAUAACGUAGGGAAACUUACGCUAAUACCGCAUACGACCUACGGGUGGAAGCAGGGGAUCUUCGGACCUUGCGCGAUUGAAUGAGCCGAUGUCGGAUUAGCUAGUUGGCGGGGUAAAGGCCCACCAAGGCGACGAUCCGUAGCUGGUCUGAGAGGAUGAUCAGCCACACUGGAACUGAGACAUGGUCCAGACUCCUACGGGAGGCAGCAGUGGGGAAUAUUGGACAAUGGGCGCAAGCCUGAUCCGGCCAUACCGCGUGGGUGAAGAAGGCCUUCGGGUUGUAAAGCCCUUUUGUUGGGAAAGAAAAGCAGCAGGUUAAUACCCCGCUGUUCUGACGGUACCCAAAGAAUAAGCACCGGCUAACUUCGUG
RNAcentral lists this ribosomal RNA (492 nucleotides) under uncultured bacterium. Its description in RNAcentral is "partial 16S ribosomal RNA". It matches the Rfam family "Bacterial small subunit ribosomal RNA", at positions 29 to 507 of the family's 1533-position model. The record is from RNAcentral.